RNAcentral lists this ribosomal RNA (253 nucleotides) under uncultured bacterium. Its description in RNAcentral is "partial 16S ribosomal RNA". It matches the Rfam family "Bacterial small subunit ribosomal RNA", at positions 524 to 776 of the family's 1533-position model. The record is from RNAcentral.
UACGUAGGAGGCAAGCGUUGUCCGGAAUUACUGGGCGUAAAGCGCGUGUAGGUGGUGGGACAAGUCUGCUGUGAAAGCGCCUGGCUUAACCGGGCGAGGUCGGCGGAAACUGUCCGACUCGAGGACGGUAGAGGGGGGUGGAAUUCCCGGUGUAGUGGUGAAAUGCGCAGAUAUCGGGAAGAACACCCGUGGCGAAGGCGGCUCUCUGGAACGCAACUGACGCUGAGACGCGAAAGCGUGGGGAGCAAACAGG